UGGGGGAGUGUCCCGAGUGGCAAAGGGAGCUGACUGUAAAUCAGCCGCCGUAUGGCUUCGAAGGUUCGAGUCCUUCUUCCCCCACCAU
RNAcentral lists this transfer RNA (88 nucleotides) under Afipia carboxidovorans OM5. RNAcentral describes it as "Oligotropha carboxidovorans OM5 tRNA-Tyr". It matches the Rfam family "tRNA". From Rfam's summary of the family: Transfer RNA (tRNA) molecules are approximately 80 nucleotides in length. Their secondary structure includes four short double-helical elements and three loops (D, anti-codon, and T loops). Lineage: Bacteria; Pseudomonadati; Pseudomonadota; Alphaproteobacteria; Hyphomicrobiales; Nitrobacteraceae. The record is from RNAcentral.